RNAcentral lists this ribosomal RNA (253 nucleotides) under uncultured bacterium. RNAcentral's name for it is "partial 16S ribosomal RNA". It matches the Rfam family "Bacterial small subunit ribosomal RNA", at positions 524 to 776 of the family's 1533-position model. The record is from RNAcentral.
UACGUAGGGGGCAAGCGUUGUCCGGAAUCAUUGGGCGUAAAGCGCGUGUAGGCGGUUCAGUAAGUCUGCUGUGAAAGUCCAGGGCUCAACCCUGGGAUGCCGGUGGAUACUGCUGGGCUAGAGUACGGAAGAGGCGAGUGGAAUUCCCGGUGUAGCGGUGAAAUGCGCAGAUAUCAGGAGGAACACCGGUGGCGAAGGCGCUCAUCUGGCCCAAUACUGACGCUGAGGCGCGAAAGCUAGGGGAGCAAACGGG